RNAcentral lists this ribosomal RNA (468 nucleotides) under uncultured bacterium. Its description in RNAcentral is "partial 16S ribosomal RNA". It matches the Rfam family "Bacterial small subunit ribosomal RNA", at positions 28 to 507 of the family's 1533-position model. The record is from RNAcentral.
GACGAACGCUGGCGGCGUGCUUAACACAUGCAAGUCGAACGGAAAGGCCCUGCUUUUGUGGGGUGCUCGAGUGGCGAACGGGUGAGUAACACGUGAGUAACCUGCCCUUGACUUUGGGAUAACUUCAGGAAACUGGGGCUAAUACCGGAUAGGAGCUCCUGCUGCAUGGUGGGGGUUGGAAAGUUUCGGCGGUUGGGGAUGGACUCGCGGCUUAUCAGCUUGUUGGUGGGGUAGUGGCUUACCAAGGCUUUGACGGGUAGCCGGCCUGAGAGGGUGAGCGGCCACAUUGGGACUGAGAUACAGCCCAGAGUCCUAUGGGAGGCAGCAGUGGGGAAUAUUGCACAAUGGGCGGAAGCCUGAUGCAGCAACGCCGCGUGUGGGAUGACGGCCUUCGGGUUGUAAACCGCUUUCGCCUGUGACGAAGCGUGAGUGACGGUAAUGGGUAAAGAAGCACCGGCUAACUACGUG